AACGCACCUUGCGCUCCUUGGCAUUCCGAGGAGCAUGCCUGUUUGAGUGUCAUUAAAUCCUCAACUCUCAUAUCUUCCUUGUGUUGAUUGUGUGUUGGACGUGGAAGCUGCUGGCUUGUUCGGAGUCGGCUCUUCUGAAAUAUAUUAGCAGGACGUCACGCUGUGCGACUUGGUAUUGAUAGUUGUCUUACCAGGUAGCAGUAGCAAAUUGGUCCAGCUCCAAGCCGUCACUUUGAUGACAACGUUGACGAUUUGACCUCAAAUCAGGUAGGAUUACCCGCUGAACUUAA
RNAcentral lists this unclassified non-coding RNA (290 nucleotides) under uncultured fungus. RNAcentral describes it as "partial contains 5.8S ribosomal RNA, internal transcribed spacer 2, and large subunit ribosomal RNA". The stretch from base 1 to 52 matches the Rfam family "5.8S ribosomal RNA", at positions 103 to 154 of the family's 154-position model. The record is from RNAcentral. Lineage: Eukaryota; Fungi.